AACGGCCGCGCGGUAUGUUGCCGAAAGGUAUUACCGUGAGGAAAGUCCGGGCUUCAAAGGGCAGGAUAGCUGAUAACAUCAGCCGCAGGUGACUGCCGGGAAAGUGCAACAGAAAUAAACCGCCCGCAAGGGUAAGGAUGGAAAGGCGAGGUAAGAGCUCACCCACUCCUAUGGUAACAUAGGUUUGCUGUAAACCCUAUCCGAAGCAACACCGUUUGGGGGUGGCCGGCCCGGCGUAGGCCCCCGGGUGGCGCGGGAGCGAUCCCGAAGCGCCGCGGCGACGCGGCGCGCAGAUAGAUGGCCGUUCAAGACAGAACCCGGCUUAUCGGCAAAG
Molecule: RNase P RNA, 334 nt
Filed under: human gut metagenome
Also listed under: 1 other name
Description: Bacterial RNase P class A
Rfam family: Bacterial RNase P class A
About the family: Ribonuclease P (RNase P) is a ubiquitous endoribonuclease, found in archaea, bacteria and eukarya as well as chloroplasts and mitochondria. Its best characterised activity is the generation of mature 5'-ends of tRNAs by cleaving the 5'-leader elements of precursor-tRNAs.
Source: RNAcentral